AUUGAACGCUGGCGGCAGGCCUAACACAUGCAAGUCGAGCGGAUGAAGGGAGCUUGCUCCUGGAUUCAGCGGCGGACGGGUGAGUAAUGCCUAGGAAUCUGCCUGGUAGUGGGGGAUAACGUCCGGAAACGGGCGCUAAUACCGCAUACGUCCUGCGGGAGCAAGUGGGGGAUCUUCGGACCUCACGCUAUCAGAUGAGCCUAGGUCGGAGUAGCUAGUUGGUGGGGUAAAGGCCUACCAAGGCGACGAUCCGUAACUGGUCUGAUAGGAUGAUCAGUCACACUGGAACUGAGACACGGUCCAGACUCCUACGGGAGGCAGCAGUGGGGAAUAUUGGACAAUGGGCGAAAGCCUGAUCCAGCCAUGCCGCGUGUGUGAAGAAGGUCUUCGGAUUGUAAAGCACUUUAAGUUGGGAGGAAGGGCAGUAAGUUAAUACCUUGCUGUUUUGACGUUACCAACAGAAUAAGCACCGGCUAACUUCGUG
This 484-nucleotide ribosomal RNA is filed under the name uncultured bacterium. RNAcentral's name for it is "partial 16S ribosomal RNA". It matches the Rfam family "Bacterial small subunit ribosomal RNA", at positions 30 to 507 of the family's 1533-position model. The record is from RNAcentral.